Molecule: long non-coding RNA, 742 nt
Organism: Vicia villosa (hairy vetch)
Lineage: Eukaryota; Viridiplantae; Streptophyta; Magnoliopsida; Fabales; Fabaceae
Exons: 2
Source: RefSeq, a predicted model, not a curated record
UUCGGCUUACACGAAGCCUCCUUUCUCUCGUUCCCUCUCAUCUCUUUUUUACUCAUGAGCACCAACACAGUGGCCAGAAAUCGCUCCGCCGCGCCGAAGGCGGCGGAGCUCACUCAAUCUCCCAAACUUAAUACCUCACCUUACUCGUUUCUCUGCCCUCUCCUCAAAAAUCGGUUUGAUUUCUCUAGAUCUUCUCUCAAACUCUCCUACUCAGAUUAACAAGGAAACCCUAGAUCUAACAAAAAGUUCAAUUAACAAGGAUGGCGAUGAAUCAAAGCACAAGAAUAUAGGGGAAAGAGAUAGCGAGAUGUAUACAACGACUUCUGUAACAGAGGAAAGUUUAGGCUUACCUACCGGAGCAGUUCCGGUGACUCUUCAGUUGCGAUUACGAAGACGAGAAAACCAGAGUAACUUCGAAUUUGCAGGUACAUGGUUACUGUAUGGUGAAGGCAUGAGGUCUUGCAAGAUGGAAUCGAGGAGGCCAAUCUUCCAUUGAUGGCAACUUAGGAUUAGAAGCAAUAGCCUAAAGCCAUUUUUGUGUAAUUUUGUUGUUUUGUAAUAGAUAGCAACAUGAAGUAAAUAUUGAAUGGGCAUUUGGAAAUGAACUAUGAUGGUUUUUUUUGGUGUAUUUGAGUUUUGUAAUUUGGAAUGAAAGUAAUGAAUUUUGAAUGAAACUCUUUGGAUUUUGAUCAUUUGAAUCUUUUGUAAUGGAUGUCUUUGAGAAUGGAUGGCCAUUUGAGAA